Non-coding RNA from Mycena galericulata, 90 nucleotides. The record is from the annotation of a GenBank genome assembly. Lineage: Eukaryota; Fungi; Basidiomycota; Agaricomycetes; Agaricales; Mycenaceae.
GGCCCGGUGGCGGAUGGUCCGCACCUGCAAACUGUAUGUGGUAGUUUUUCACGUAAGCAGGAUACGCUCGUUCGAUUCGAGCCCGGGCCA